RNAcentral lists this ribosomal RNA (774 nucleotides) under Pseudomonas sp. BND-YA2. Its description in RNAcentral is "bacterial SSU rRNA". It matches the Rfam family "Bacterial small subunit ribosomal RNA", at positions 1 to 771 of the family's 1533-position model. Lineage: Bacteria; Pseudomonadati; Pseudomonadota; Gammaproteobacteria; Pseudomonadales; Pseudomonadaceae. The record is from RNAcentral.
UUAGAGUUUGAAUCCUGGCUCAGAUUGAACGCUGGCGGCAGGCCUAACACAUGCAAGUCGAGCGGUAGAGAGAAGCUUGCUUCUCUUGAGAGCGGCGGACGGGUGAGUAAUGCCUAGGAAUCUGCCUGGUAGUGGGGGAUAACGUUCGGAAACGGACGCUAAUACCGCAUACGUCCUACGGGAGAAAGCAGGGGACCUUCGGGCCUUGCGCUAUCAGAUGAGCCUAGGUCGGAUUAGCUAGUUGGUGAGGUAAUGGCUCACCAAGGCGACGAUCCGUAACUGGUCUGAGAGGAUGAUCAGUCACACUGGAACUGAGACACGGUCCAGACUCCUACGGGAGGCAGCAGUGGGGAAUAUUGGACAAUGGGCGAAAGCCUGAUCCAGCCAUGCCGCGUGUGUGAAGAAGGUCUUCGGAUUGUAAAGCACUUUAAGUUGGGAGGAAGGGCAGUUACCUAAUACGUGAUUGUUUUGACGUUACCGACAGAAUAAGCACCGGCUAACUCUGUGCCAGCAGCCGCGGUAAUACAGAGGGUGCAAGCGUUAAUCGGAAUUACUGGGCGUAAAGCGCGCGUAGGUGGUUAGUUAAGUUGGAUGUGAAAUCCCCGGGCUCAACCUGGGAACUGCAUUCAAAACUGACUGACUAGAGUAUGGUAGAGGGUGGUGGAAUUUCCUGUGUAGCGGUGAAAUGCGUAGAUAUAGGAAGGAACACCAGUGGCGAAGGCGACCCACCCUGGACUGAUACUGACACUGAGGUGCGAAAGGGCGUGGGAGCAA